RNAcentral lists this ribosomal RNA (253 nucleotides) under uncultured bacterium. Its description in RNAcentral is "partial 16S ribosomal RNA". It matches the Rfam family "Bacterial small subunit ribosomal RNA", at positions 524 to 776 of the family's 1533-position model. The record is from RNAcentral.
UACGAAGGGGGCUAGCGUUGCUCGGAAUCACUGGGCGUAAAUCGCACGUAGGCGGAUCUUUAAGUCAGGGGUGAAAUCCUGGAGCUCAACUCCAGAACUGCCUCUGAUACUGGGGAUCUUGAGUCCGGAAGAGGUAAGUGGAACUGCGAGUGUAGAGGUGAAAUUCGUAGAUAUUCGCAAGAACACCAGUGGCGAAGGCGGCUUACUGGUCCGGUACUGACGCUGAGGUGCGAAAGCGUGGGGAGCAAACAGG